This 77-nucleotide small RNA is filed under the name Escherichia coli. RNAcentral describes it as "isrK". It matches the Rfam family "isrK Hfq binding RNA". The record is from RNAcentral. Lineage: Bacteria; Pseudomonadati; Pseudomonadota; Gammaproteobacteria; Enterobacterales; Enterobacteriaceae.
GUUGUGGCAAAAUCCACAGCCGGGCGUGAGAACCCGUUUAACACAAAGGCGACACAGACGCCGAAAGCGUCUUUUUU